GAUGAACGCUGGCGGCGUGCCUAAUACAUGCAAGUCGAGCGAACAGAUGAGGAGCUUGCUCCUCUGACGUUAGCGGCGGACGGGUGAGUAACACGUGGAUAACCUACCUAUAAGACUGGGAUAACUUCGGGAAACCGGAGCUAAUACCGGAUAAUAUAUUGAACCGCAUGGUUCAAUAGUGAAAGACGGUUUUGCUGUCACUUAUAGAUGGAUCCGCGCCGCAUUAGCUAGUUGGUAAGGUAACGGCUUACCAAGGCAACGAUGCGUAGCCGACCUGAGAGGGUGAUCGGCCACACUGGAACUGAGACACGGUCCAGACUCCUACGGGAGGCAGCAGUAGGGAAUCUUCCGCAAUGGGCGAAAGCCUGACGGAGCAACGCCGCGUGAGUGAUGAAGGUCUUCGGAUCGUAAAACUCUGUUAUUAGGGAAGAACAAAUGUGUAAGUAACUAUGCACGUCUUGACGGUACCUGAUCAGAAAGCCACGGCUAACUACGCG
Molecule: ribosomal RNA, 497 nt
Filed under: uncultured bacterium
Lineage: Bacteria
Description: partial 16S ribosomal RNA
Rfam family: Bacterial small subunit ribosomal RNA
Source: RNAcentral